Molecule: ribosomal RNA, 421 nt
Filed under: uncultured bacterium
Lineage: Bacteria
Description: bacterial SSU rRNA
Rfam family: Bacterial small subunit ribosomal RNA
Source: RNAcentral
AAUUUUUGACAAUGGGGGAAACCCUGAUCGAGCGACGCCGCGUGGAGGAUGAAGGUCUUCGGAUUGUAAACUCCUGUCAUUGGGGAACAAGGUGCAUACGUUAACUGCGUGUGCAUUGAUAGUACCCGAAGAAGAAGCCCCGGCUAACUUCGUGCCAGCAGCCGCGGUAAUACGAAGGGGGCUAGCGUUGCUCGGAAUGACUGGGCGUAAAGGGCGCGUAGGCGGAUGGCACAGUCAGAUGUGAAAUUCCCGGGCUCAACCUGGGGGCUGCAUUUGAUACGUGUUAUCUAGAGUGAGGAAGAGGGUCGUGGAAUUCCCAGUGUAGAGGUGAAAUUCGUAGAUAUUGGGAAGAACACCGGUGGCGAAGGCGGCGACCUGGUCCUUUUACUGACGCUGAGGCGCGAAAGCGUGGGGAGCAAAC